UGAAAAGCGAUGACGGGCACAAGUAGCUUGCGUUCGCCGUAUUCAGAGAGCCGGUGUUUGCUGGGAACCGGUUGCGGACCGCAUGUUGAAUUACAGCCUCGAGCCGAAUGGUUGAACACGGCGCAACGCCGCAAGUAGGCCUUUCCGGAUGCGCCCGUUACGCGCAAUGAAGUGAAAGCGACCAUCCGCCCGCUGCCCUGCGGCACCGAACGUGCGGCGGACGCUUUAACGAGGGUGGUACCGCGGGCAAAAUCCUUCUCGUCCCUUGA
RNAcentral lists this non-coding RNA (269 nucleotides) under Paenibacillus darwinianus. RNAcentral's name for it is "T-box sequence". It matches the Rfam family "T-box leader". From Rfam's summary of the family: Uncharged tRNA acts as the effector for transcription antitermination of genes in the T-box leader family. T-boxes are found upstream of many aminoacyl-tRNA synthetase genes and some amino acid biosynthetic genes usually in Gram-positive bacteria. The anticodon of a specific tRNA base pairs to a specifier sequence within the T-box motif, and the NCCA acceptor tail of the tRNA base pairs to a conserved bulge in the T-box antiterminator hairpin. The record is from RNAcentral. Lineage: Bacteria; Bacillati; Bacillota; Bacilli; Caryophanales; Paenibacillaceae.